UACGUAGGGGGCAAGCGUUGUUCGGAAUUACUGGGCGUAAAGGGCGCGUAGGCGGCAUGGCAAGUCGGGAGUGAAAGCCCGGGGCUCAACCCCGGAACUGCUUUCGAAACUGCCAAGCUAGAGUACGGAAGGGGCAACUGGAAUUCCCAGUGUAGCGGUGAAAUGCGUAGAUAUUGGGAAGAACACCGGAGGCGAAGGCGGGUUGCUGGGCCGAUACUGACGCUGAGGCGCGAAAGCCAGGGGAGCAAAC
RNAcentral lists this ribosomal RNA (250 nucleotides) under uncultured bacterium. Its description in RNAcentral is "partial 16S ribosomal RNA". It matches the Rfam family "Bacterial small subunit ribosomal RNA", at positions 524 to 773 of the family's 1533-position model. The record is from RNAcentral.